This 334-nucleotide unclassified non-coding RNA is filed under the name soil metagenome. Its description in RNAcentral is "partial contains 5.8S ribosomal RNA, internal transcribed spacer 2, and large subunit ribosomal RNA". The stretch from base 1 to 120 matches the Rfam family "5.8S ribosomal RNA", at positions 35 to 154 of the family's 154-position model. The record is from RNAcentral.
GAUGAAGAACGCAGCGAAAUGCGAUACGUAAUGUGAAUUGCAGAAUUCAGUGAAUCAUCGAAUCUUUGAACGCACAUUGCGCCUGCCAGCACUCUGGCAGGCAUGCCUGUUCGAGCGUCAUUUCAACCAUCAAGCCCUAGGCUUGCGUUGGAGCCCUGCGGCUGCCGCAGGCCCCUAAAAGCAGUGGCGGGCUCGCUAUCACACCGAGUGCAGUAGAUUACUCUUCGCUCAGGGCGUGUGGCGGGUUCCAGCCGUGAAACCCCCUACUUCUCAAGGUUGACCUCGGAUCAGGUAGGACUACCCGCUGAACUUAAGCAUAUCAAUAAGCGGAGGA